Molecule: ribosomal RNA, 268 nt
Filed under: Escherichia coli
Lineage: Bacteria; Pseudomonadati; Pseudomonadota; Gammaproteobacteria; Enterobacterales; Enterobacteriaceae
Description: partial 16S ribosomal RNA
Rfam family: Bacterial small subunit ribosomal RNA
Source: RNAcentral
AAAUUGAAGAGUUUGAUCAUGGCUCAGAUUGAACGCUGGCGGCAGGCCUAACACAUGCAAGUCGAACGGUAACAGAAAGCAGCUUGCUGCUUUGCUGACGAGUGGCGGACGGGUGAGUAAUGUCUGGGAAACUGCCUGGUGGAGGGGGAUAACUACUGGAAACGGUAGCUAAUACCGCAUAAUGUCGCAAGACCAAAGAGGGGGACCUUCGGGCCUCUUGCCAUCGGAUGUGCCCAGAUGGGAUUAGCUUGUUGGUGGGGUAACGGCU